AGUGAACGCUGGCGGUAGGCCUAACACAUGCAAGUCGAACGGCAGCACAGUAAGAGCUUGCUCUUACGGGUGGCGAGUGGCGGACGGGUGAGGAAUACAUCGGAAUCUACUUUUUCGUGGGGGAUAACGUAGGGAAACUUACGCUACUACCGCAUACGACCUACGGGUGAAAGCAGGGGAUCUUCGGACCUUGCGCGAUUGAAUGAGCCGAUGUCGGAUUAGCUAGUUGGCGGGGUAAAGGCCCACCAAGGCGACGAUCCGUAGCUGGUCUGAGAGGAUGAUCAGCCACACUGGAACGGAGACACGGUCCAGACUCCUACGGGAGGCAGCAGUGGGGAAUAUUGGACAAUGGGCGCAAGCCUGAUCCAGCCAUACCGCGUGGGUGAAGAAGGCCUUCGGGUUGUAAAGCCCUUUUGUUGGGAAAGAAAAGCAGCAGGUUAAUACCCCGCUGUUCUGACGGUACCCAAAGAAUAAGCACCGGCUAACUUCGUG
RNAcentral lists this ribosomal RNA (492 nucleotides) under uncultured bacterium. Its description in RNAcentral is "partial 16S ribosomal RNA". It matches the Rfam family "Bacterial small subunit ribosomal RNA", at positions 29 to 507 of the family's 1533-position model. The record is from RNAcentral.